GCAAGUGUCACGUGUGGAGACCAUUACACAUUAUUGGAAAACAGCUAUCUUCCAAUAUUUACACAUACGAAUAUGAGGGUACAAAUCAAAUUGAAUUUAUUCACAUUUCCAAAAAAGCUCUGAUAGCAGUUAAUGUCAACGUGGAUGAAACAGGCACGAAGACAGAACAGGUUCUCCUAUUCGGCAAAGACAAUGACAUUGAUCAGGAAGACUUAGAGACAUUCAAGAAGGAGACUCUAAGUCGGAAGAUUACAGAAACAAGCAUUAAGGAUUUAAC
Cervus elaphus (red deer) is the source of this 277-nucleotide long non-coding RNA. RefSeq lists it as uncharacterized. The record is from RefSeq and is a predicted model, not a curated record. Lineage: Eukaryota; Metazoa; Chordata; Mammalia; Artiodactyla; Cervidae. The transcript has 3 exons.